RNA transcript from Alligator mississippiensis (American alligator), 2179 nucleotides. It is a transcript of the gene named epoxide hydrolase 3, with no coding region annotated. The transcript is spliced from 3 exons. NCBI's taxonomy places the organism in Eukaryota, Metazoa, Chordata, Crocodylia, Alligatoridae. The record is from RefSeq and is a predicted model, not a curated record.
AGAGUAUCUGGGGCUGACCCUGGCUCUAGGUCUGGCUGCCUGGGAGUUGGGCACAGAGACUCUUGUCUGGAAAUAGCAGUCCAGCCCAGUCCAGCUCAGCUUUAUGCAAGGCCUGGCCCAGGUCACAAUGAUCUGGGACCUCAAUACAUGCUCCAGGCUGGGCUGUAGAACAUGCGCAGACAGAAAUCCCAUGGAGGCAGAGGCUCCUGCUGGGUGAGGGGAUCGGAAGCUGAAGGGGCUUUUUGAAUAUCUUCACAGAGGCCAGGUCCAGGGGCUCCUGUAGGGACUUAAAACAUGGCCCAUGGGUGGCAUUGACCACACCAGGACAUCCCUUGUGCCCAACCCCUCCUCCCUCUCCACGCUCUGACUCAUAUAUGUGUGUGCUGGCAUGUGGCAGGUACUGCUGGCGCCACCAGCUGCAGGAGUUUCGGAAGCGGUUCCGGGUGGUGGCGCUGGACAUGCGGGGAUACAACGCCUCGGGCGCCCCCAGCGGAGAGAAGAGCUACGAGAUCCCGCUCUUGGUGGAGGAUGUGCGGGAGGUCAUCGAGAUACUGGGUACCAAGGACAAGCAGGGUGAGAACAUGCUGCAGGAGUGGCACAAGUCCUAGAGCAGACCUGGCACUAUGAAACAUGGGAUACAUGCCUUGCCCCCGACACUGAUGCCUCUCCUCCAGCAAAAUGGUGGACGUUGGAAGAAGCUAGUGACUGGGCCAGGCAGGGCUCCUCCAAAGCCAUUGUGGUGGGACACGACUGGGGCGGCGUCCUCGCUUGGGUGUUCGCUGCCCAACACCCUGACCUGGUGGAGAAGCUGAUCCUCAUGAACACCAUGUGCUGCUCUGCAUUGAUCGGAGGCCCAUUGUGAAGGAGAAGACUGUGCUGGCACCCACACUGGUGAUCUGGGGGAAGAAGGACGUGUUCCUGGAGGUUGGGCUGCUCACAGUCAUGCAGCGGUACUUCAACUGUGGGUGCUGAAUUGAGUGCCUCCCCCAGUGCAGCCACUGGGUGCCUGAGGACCAGCCUGAGAAGGUCAAUCAGCUGAUGUGGGCCUUCCCGCAGGAGAACAGAUGAGGCAGUGCUGCAGCAGGGGUGGGGCCUGGGGCUGGGACCAGGACCCCAUGGCAGAGGCCUGAGCCUGGCCUGGGCCUUGGGGAGGGCAGCGUUCACCUAUUCACCCAGGGUGGUUUGUGCCCAGCUGUGCCUCUCCCUUCUGACCUUCUGGCUGUGUGCCUGGAAAUUCAGUCCCAGACAGACAGCUUGAGAGAACCUGACCUCUCCCCACAUCUCACCCUCCUGGGCCCAUUUGCCAAGGACCCAGGGCAGUGGCUGCAGCAGAAUUCUCCCCAUUCACAGGGUAGCCACCCCCUUUCCCUUCACCCACCAGGAUGGCUCCCUGUGUUCCCUAAGCUUGGCCCUCCUGGGCACAUCCAUACAUGCAGGCACGUACACUUGCAGCAGCUCAAAUAGAAGUGCAAAUUUGAGCCGGGGCUUUUUGCCUCAGUGCACAUGCUCGGACAUGCACUUUGGCGUGGGGCAAAUUGUGCCAUUUGGAGCAAAAUAACCCCGCCUGCCUUCUCCUGGACCUGCAGCCAGGGGGAGCUACAGCCUGGAGCCAGCACCUGUGCUAUCCCUGUCAGUACAAAAAGCCGCCCUGGCAAGUAGCUCAGGACUACUCACUCUCAGGAGAUUCUGGGACCCGGCCAAUUGGUACCUGGGGACACUGCCCCUUGUGCCAGCUGGACUGCUGAAGCAGCCCUGAGAGUUCCCUGUACCUUUUACCCAUUGCAGCAGUCUGGCAGUGGGGGCUGCUGCCCGGCUGUGACCUGCUGCGCACCUGCCACUUGGCCAGGUCAGCCACCUCCAGCUGAGUCCAAGGUGUCAGCUCUGAGCAGGCAGGGUCCUGCCACUGGCCUCCCUAGCAGGAAUUCUGGUGUUCCCUUUUUGAAAACUGAAAAAUCCCUGAUACAAAAACCCCAAAGUCACUCUGUAAAAUACCCCCACAUCCAUCUUCCUCCACAAUUAAAACAAAAGACCACUAUAUAUAUAUAUAUAUAAAGAAAGAGAGAGAGAGAGAGAGAGAGCAAUCAGUUGGGCAGUGUUUUAUUGAUAUAUCUACAGUGUUAAAGCAAUCUGGAAGCCUACCAGUGUCUCUAUCAUCAUAAUAAAGUGAAUUCUAAAUACC